GAUCGCUUGGAAGUUGGGGUUUUGUUUUUUCAGGAAGCGGGCUGCGCCGGUGAUGGUUCCGCCGGUUCCGACGCCGGCGAUGAUCGC
This 87-nucleotide transfer RNA is filed under the name Novipirellula galeiformis. Its description in RNAcentral is "Planctomycetes bacterium Pla52o tRNA-Sec". The record is from RNAcentral. Lineage: Bacteria; Pseudomonadati; Planctomycetota; Planctomycetia; Pirellulales; Pirellulaceae.